UUACGGCCACAUUACGUUGAAACAUCGGUUCCCAUACGAUAACCGAAGUUAAGCAACGUCGAGCCUGGUCAGUACCUAGAUGGGUAAACCGCUUAGGAAUAGCAGGUGCUGUAA
This is a non-coding RNA of Acanthosepion pharaonis, 114 nucleotides long. The record is from the annotation of a GenBank genome assembly. Lineage: Eukaryota; Metazoa; Mollusca; Cephalopoda; Sepiida; Sepiidae.